Molecule: ribosomal RNA, 550 nt
Filed under: uncultured bacterium
Lineage: Bacteria
Description: bacterial SSU rRNA
Rfam family: Bacterial small subunit ribosomal RNA
Source: RNAcentral
UAGGGAAUCUUCGGCAAUGGACGGAAGUCUGACCGAGCAACGCCGCGUGAGUGAAGAAGGUUUUCGGAUCGUAAAGCUCUGUUGUAAGAGAAGAACGAGUGUGAGAGUGGAAAGUUCACACUGUGACGGUAUCUUACCAGAAAGGGACGGCUAACUACGUGCCAGCAGCCGCGGUAAUACGUAGGUCCCGAGCGUUGUCCGGAUUUAUUGGGCGUAAAGCGAGCGCAGGCGGUUAGAUAAGUCUGAAGUUAAAGGCUGUGGCUUAACCAUAGUAGGCUUUGGAAACUGUUUAACUUGAGUGCAAGAGGGGAGAGUGGAAUUCCAUGUGUAGCGGUGAAAUGCGUAGAUAUAUGGAGGAACACCGGUGGCGAAAGCGGCUCUCUGGCUUGUAACUGACGCUGAGGCUCGAGAGCGUGGGGAGCAAACAGGAUUAGAUACCCUGGUAGUCCACGCUGUAAACGAUGAGUGCUAGGUGUUAGACCCUUUCCGGGGUUUAGUGCCGUAGCUAACGCAUUAAGCACUCCGCCUGGGGAGUACGACCGCAAGGUUG